AGUUGACCAGUGUUGUCCGAAGUUAUUUACGUGCGCGAGGCGAGGAAUGUAACCGUCCGUGAGGUAAAAAAACAAGGUAAAAUAAUCGGCCUGUGUGUGAACUGUUCUUACUGAUUUUUAUAUACUUACAUUUAUUGGAUGAAGAGAAAGAGAGUGGGGGGUUGGGUACUUCCAAUAAAUCUUUGUUGGAGGUCUAAAGAAUUAAGGGUGGUUCAGUAAGUUACCUGUGGGACA
This 234-nucleotide long non-coding RNA is filed under the name Elaeis guineensis (African oil palm). Its description in RNAcentral is "long non-coding RNA (EGUI_LNC077549)". The record is from RNAcentral. Lineage: Eukaryota; Viridiplantae; Streptophyta; Magnoliopsida; Arecales; Arecaceae.